UCCCGUGCCACCUCCUGUCCGUGUCCCCUCUGUCCCCGAGCCCUUCCCACCUCUGCCCCAAUCCCAUCCCGGGGAGCUCCCAGCCCCUCCGCAUCCCGCUGGGAAUGUCGCACGCGGGAAUGUCAUGCGGGAAUGUCACAUGUGGGAAUGUCCCGCGGGAAUGUCACAUGUGGGAAUGUCCCAUGGGAAUGUCACGCACAGGAAUGUCACGCAUGGGAAUGUCCUGCGGGAAUGUCACAUGCGGGAAUGUUCCAUGGGAAUGUCACAUGUGGGAAUGUUCCAUGGGAAUGUCACACACAGGAAUGUCGCGCAUGGGAAUGUCACAUGUGGGAAUGUCCCAUGGGAACGUCACAUGUGGGAAUGUUCCAUGGGAAUGUCACACACGGGAAUGUCACACACAGGAAUGUCGCGCAUGGGAAUGUCCUGCGGGAAUGUCACAUGUGGGAAUGUCCCAUGGGAACGUCACACACGGGAAUGUCGCGCAUGGGAAUGUCCUGUGGGAAUGUCCUGUGGGAAUGUCACACGCAGGAAUGUCGCAUGGCAGGCAGAGCACUUCCCUUCCCAGGCUGGGGAAUUGGGGAACUCCCAGGACCACCCUGAGUGGCACUGACCACCCUGGCACUGACCACCCUGGCACUGACCACCCCAGCACUGACCACCCCUGCCUGGCCACCCUGGCACUGACCACCCUGGCACUGACCACCCUGGCACUGACCACCCCUGCCUGACCACCCUGGCACUGACCACCCUGGCACUGACCACCCUGGCACUGACCACCCCUGCCUGACCACCCUGGCACUGACCACCCCAGCACUGACCGCCCUGAGUGGCACUGACCACCCUGCUUGGCACUGACCACCCUGGCACUGACCACCCCGGCACUGACCACCCCAGCACUGACCAACCCUGCCCACCCUGGCACCCUGCUCAGCACUGACCACCCCAGCACUGACCACGCCUGCCUGGCACUGACCACCCUGCCUGACCACCCUGCCUGGCACUGACCACCCUGCUUUGCCACCCUGCCUGACCACCCCAGCACUGACCACCCCAGCAUUGACCACCCUGGCACUGACCACCCUGGCACUGACCACCCUGCCUGACCACCCCAGCACUGACCACCCCAGCACUGCCCACCCUAAGUGGCGCUGACCACCCUGCCUGACCACCCUGCCUGACCACCCUGCCUGACCACCCUGCCUGACCACCCUGCCUGGCACUGACCACCCUGCUUUGCCACCCUGCCUGACCACCCCUGCCUGACCACCCUGGCACUGACCACCCUGCUUGGCACGGACCACCCUGCCUGGCCACCCUGCCUAUCCCUGCCCCUGUCCCUACCCGUGUCCCUGCCUGUCUCCCCUGUCCCUGUCCCUGUCCCCCUGUCCCCCACGUCCCUCCCCUGUCCCCGCAGGUACCGCAGUCCCCGGUGUCCCCGGUGUCCCCCUGCGCGCCGCGGUGGAAGGUGACAGUGGCGGCCUGAGCCCGGGCAUUCCCGGGUCUCGGCCCCUUCUUUUUCCGCAGCUGUUUUUUGGGGCCACCCCUAGAAGGAGAGACCCGCCCGCGGCCAAAACCCCGCGGAGCGCAACCGCUCCGCGCCAAGCUCGCUCUGGGACCGGGAGAGCUGGACGCCUUCUCGCCAUUUCGGAGGAGCCUUCCUCACCCUCCUCCUCCUCCUUUUCCCUGGGUUUUUUCCCCCCUCGUCCUCCGCGCCCCCGGAGGGCGGAA
This is a long non-coding RNA of Parus major (Great Tit), 1728 nucleotides long. The record is from Ensembl. NCBI's taxonomy places the organism in Eukaryota, Metazoa, Chordata, Aves, Passeriformes, Paridae.